GAAAUGCGAUAAGUAGUGUGAAUUGCAGAAUUCAGUGAAUCAUCGAAUCUUUGAACGCACAUUGCGCCCCUUGGUAUUCCAUGGGGCAUGCCUGUUCGAGCGUCAUUUGUACCCUCAAGCUCUGCUUGGUGUUGGGUGUUUGUCCCGUCUCCGCGCGUGGACUCGCCCCAAAGUGAUUGGCAGCCGGCGUACUGGUCCCGGAGCGCAGCACAUGUCGCGCAAACGAGUGCCUUGGUACGGCGGCGUCCAUAAGCCCCUCUCUCACGCUCUUGACCUCGGAUCUGGUAGGGAUACCCGCUGAACUUAAGC
RNAcentral lists this unclassified non-coding RNA (309 nucleotides) under plant metagenome. Its description in RNAcentral is "partial contains 5.8S ribosomal RNA, internal transcribed spacer 2, and large subunit ribosomal RNA". The stretch from base 1 to 105 matches the Rfam family "5.8S ribosomal RNA", at positions 50 to 154 of the family's 154-position model. The record is from RNAcentral.